Molecule: long non-coding RNA, 364 nt
Filed under: Zea mays
Lineage: Eukaryota; Viridiplantae; Streptophyta; Magnoliopsida; Poales; Poaceae
Description: long non-coding RNA (ZMAY_LNC005849)
Source: RNAcentral
UAACACGAUAUUUUGUAUACAGGGUUUGAUUGUUGACUCUCGUAAAGGCUCCCUUCAGCCAUUCAAGAAACCUUGGGCGCAUGAGCACGAGCCCUUGAAAACCUUGUAUGAUGCUGUUCAGGUAGUCACGCUCAUGUGCAUUUAAGAUCGUAUUUCAGUUCAUUAGCAGCUGCUGCCUUCACUUAGAGAUGUCCUGUUUGUGCUGUUUUCACCAAAAAAAAAGGAAUUUGCUAACCUUUCGUCAUAUCCUCCAGUCCAUCAAACCUACAGUUCUGAUCGGGACAUCUGGAGUUGGAAGAACAUUCACAAAAGAAAUCAUUGAGGCCAUGUCUUCCUUCAACGAGGUAACUUUUUUUUUUCUGUU